AUUGGCUGAGUUUUUUUAGCCAAUCACAUUCACCUUACACUAUGUGGUUUUGUGGAUGUACUCCAAAUUUCAUAAAUAGUGAAUCCAAGUUUGGAGUUUUUUUUAAUCCUAUCUGACAAAACAGAACCAAUUUUAAGGAGAAAUUGGGCACACCUUCAGGGCAGCUGAAUGCCGGGCUGGACUGGGGAUACGGAGCAGCCCUGGAAAAAAAUCUAUGCCAGCCCCAUAAGUCAUUGUGCU
Molecule: non-coding RNA, 240 nt
Organism: Pelobates cultripes (western spadefoot toad)
Lineage: Eukaryota; Metazoa; Chordata; Amphibia; Anura; Pelobatidae
Source: the annotation of a GenBank genome assembly